UACGUAGGGUGCAAGCGUUAUUCGGAUUUACUGGGCGUAAAGGGUCCGCAGGGGGUUUGCCAAGUCUGAUGUGAAAUCCCACAGCUCAACUGUGGAACGGUAUUGGAUACUGGUGAACUUUGAGUGCACGAGGGGUGAGCGGAAUUCCUGGUGUAGCGGUGGAAUGCGCAGAUAUCAGGAGGAACAUCGAUGGCGAAGGCGGCUCACUGGCGUGUCACUGACCCUCAGGGACGAAAGCGUGGGUAGCAAACAGG
RNAcentral lists this ribosomal RNA (254 nucleotides) under uncultured bacterium. RNAcentral describes it as "partial 16S ribosomal RNA". It matches the Rfam family "Bacterial small subunit ribosomal RNA", at positions 524 to 776 of the family's 1533-position model. The record is from RNAcentral.